Molecule: transfer RNA, 72 nt
Filed under: Ornithorhynchus anatinus (platypus)
Lineage: Eukaryota; Metazoa; Chordata; Mammalia; Monotremata; Ornithorhynchidae
Rfam family: tRNA
About the family: Transfer RNA (tRNA) molecules are approximately 80 nucleotides in length. Their secondary structure includes four short double-helical elements and three loops (D, anti-codon, and T loops).
Source: Rfam by way of RNAcentral
AGCAGUGUGGCUCAGUGGAAAGAGCCCGGGCUUCUGAGUCAGGGUUCAUGGGUUCGACUCCCAGCUCUGCCA